Molecule: ribosomal RNA, 424 nt
Filed under: uncultured Glomeraceae
Lineage: Eukaryota; Fungi; Glomeromycota; Glomeromycetes; Glomerales; Glomeraceae
Description: SSU rRNA
Rfam family: Eukaryotic small subunit ribosomal RNA
Source: RNAcentral
GGGAGGUAGUGACAAUAAAUAACAAUACGGGGUUCUUUUGGAUCUCGUAAUUGGAAUGAGUACAAUUUAAAUCUCUUAACGAGAACCAAUUGGAGGGCAAGUCUGGUGCCAGCAGCCGCGGUAAUUCCAGCUCCAAUAGCGUAUAUUAAAGUUGUUGCAGUUAAAAAGCUCGUAGUUGAAUUUCGGGAUUAGUAGGUUGGUCGUGCCUCUGGUAUGCACUGGCUUUACUGGUUCCUCCUUCUUGAAGAACAGUAAUGUCAUUAAUUUGGUGUUGCAGGGAAACAGGACUGUUACUCUGAAAAAAAUUAGAGUGUUUAAAGCAGGCUAACGCUUGAAUACAUUAGCAUGGAAUAAUGAAAUAGGACGUUUGAUCCUAUUUUGUUGGUUUCUAGGAUUGACGUAAUGAUUAAUAGGGAUAGUUGGG